Molecule: ribosomal RNA, 253 nt
Filed under: uncultured bacterium
Lineage: Bacteria
Description: partial 16S ribosomal RNA
Rfam family: Bacterial small subunit ribosomal RNA
Source: RNAcentral
UACGGAGGGUGCAAGCGUUAAUCGGAAUUACUGGGCGUAAAGCGCGCGUAGGCGGCCACGCAAGUCGGAUGUGAAAGCCCCGGGCUUAACCUGGGAAUUGCAUUCGAUACUACGUAGCUGGAGUGUGGUAGAGGGAAGCGGAAUUCCGGGUGUAGCGGUGAAAUGCGUAGAUAUCCGGAGGAACACCAGUGGCGAAGGCGGCUUCCUGGAUCAACACUGACGCUGAGGCGCGAAAGCGUGGGGAGCAAACAGG